This is a long non-coding RNA of Panicum virgatum (switchgrass), 721 nucleotides long. RefSeq lists it as uncharacterized. Lineage: Eukaryota; Viridiplantae; Streptophyta; Magnoliopsida; Poales; Poaceae. The transcript is spliced from 2 exons. The record is from RefSeq and is a predicted model, not a curated record.
UCGAGAGGAUUUUCCUCCCCAUACCCCCGAUACCCCUUCGUCCCCGAGCGCCCCGUCCCCUGUCGAGCGACCCCUGCCCCCGAGAUCCGCCGCCGCCCUACCGCCGGCACCCCCUCCUGGCGCUGCUCCCCUUCUGCGCCGCCGGCCCCCGCCGCCGGGCCCUUCUACGCCGCCCUAUCGCUGCCGACCAUCGCAGCCUCCUAGCGGCGAGCCGGAGCCUCUGCACGGGAGGAGAAGCCCACGACGGCACCUCCUGGCGGCGAGCCGGAGCCUCCUUGCACGAGAGGAGAAGCCCACGACGGCACGUGAAGGAGAAAGCCUCUGCUGCCUCUGCUGGAGAAGGAGCAAGCCUCUACUGCAGCUGGAGAAGGAGCACCGCCCGCCACCUCUGCUGCAGCUGGAGAAGGAGCACCACCCGUCGCCGCCUGAUGACGCAAAUCAAUCAAGCUCUCAAAUCCAAGCUCCAUGCCAGGUCCGUGUCGAUGCUGCUGCUAGGUGCUAGGACCUCGGAGAAUUUCGUUCGUGUGUGUGCUGCGCUUGUACUGGUAGCUGGUAGCUUCUUCUCCGAUGGCUCUCCUCUUAGUACUAGUCUGCUGUUGCAGCAGAGCAACUGAGGUGUUCAAUCACACCUAUCUCUGCUAGUUCUCAGCGGGUAAUGAAAGAGGUGUUUAAUCUAGUUGUAUUCAUUAUUUAUAUAUUCGAAGUUUAGAAAUUAGUACUA